UUUUUGAUAAUAAUUUAAAGUCUAAUCUGCCCACUGAAUUAUUUUAAAGGGCUGCAGUAUAUUGACUGUACAAAGGUAGCAUAAUCAUUAGUCUUUUAAUUGAAGACUUGUAUGAAUGAUUUGAUGAAAUAUAAACUGUCUCUUUAUUAAUAAUAGAAAUUAAUUUUUUAGUUAAAAAGCUAAAAUUUAUUUAAAAGACGAGAAGACCCUAUAGAGUUUUAUAUUUAAAUUUAUAUUAAUUUUUUAUAAAAUUUAUAUUUAAUAUUUUUUUAAUUAUUUUAUUGGGGUGAUAGAAAAAUUUAUUAAACUUUUUUUAAAAUUUUUACAUUAAUAUAUGAAAUUUUGAUCCAUAAUUUAUGAUUAAAAGAUUAAAUUACCUUAGGGAUAACAGCGUAAUUUUUUUUUUUAGUUCUUAUAAGAAAAAAAGUUUGCGACCUCGAUGUUGGAUUAAGAUAAAAUUUAAAUGCAAAAGUUUAAAAUUUU
This 483-nucleotide ribosomal RNA is filed under the name Pieris brassicae (large cabbage white). RNAcentral describes it as "partial 16S ribosomal RNA". The record is from RNAcentral. Lineage: Eukaryota; Metazoa; Arthropoda; Insecta; Lepidoptera; Pieridae.